This 500-nucleotide ribosomal RNA is filed under the name uncultured Glomeromycotina. RNAcentral describes it as "partial small subunit ribosomal RNA". It matches the Rfam family "Eukaryotic small subunit ribosomal RNA", at positions 591 to 1092 of the family's 1831-position model. Lineage: Eukaryota; Fungi; Glomeromycota. The record is from RNAcentral.
CCAAUAGCGUAUAUUAAAGUUGUUGCAGUUAAAAAGCUCGUAGUUGAAUCUCGGGGUUAGUAGGUUGGUCAUGCCUCUGGUAUGUACUGGUUUCACUGAUUCCUCCUUCCUGCUGCGCCGUAAUGCCAUUAAUUUGGUGUUGCGGGGAAUUUGGACUGUUACUUUGAAAAAUUUAGAGUGUUUAAAGCAAGCUAACGCUUGAAUACAUUAGCAUGGAAUAAUGUAAUAGGACGUUCGAUCCUAUUUUGUUGGUUUCUAGGAUUGACGUAAUGAUUAAUAGGGAUAGUUGGGGGCAUUAGUAUUCAAUUGUCAGAGGUGAAAUUAUUGGAUUUAUUGAAGACUAACUACUGCGAAAGCAUUUGCCAAGGAUGUUUUCAUUAAUCAAGAACGAAAGUUAGGGGAUCGAAGACGAUCAGAUACCGUCGUAGUCUUAACCAUAAACUAUGCCGACUAGGGAUCGGAUGAUGUUAAUUUUUUAAUGACUCAUUCGGCGCCUUACG